CCCCCACUACCGCAGGACCCCCCGCAGCCGCUGUAUCCCAUCAUCCCAUGUUUCCCAAUGACUCCCCCAUUGCCCCCCAAUUCCCUCCCACUCCCCACACGCCGCCCGUACCCCCCCGUAGCCCCAGCGCCCGCCCCGCCCACUCACCCCCCGCGCUCUCUCCGGGGCUCCCGGGGGUUCCACUUUUGGGGGUGGGCGGUCCCACAGGGAAGGGGCGUGGCCCGCACAGGGGGCAGAGGGGCGUGGCCAACUCAGCCCCCGCCCCUUCGGACAGCGACCUCCGUGCGCGCUGCCGCCCCCGCCCCUCAGCCCCUCCCCCCGGGCACAGACAGGGAGGGGGAGGGGCCAAGCUGGGGCGGCGCUGGAGGGCGUGGCCUAAAUGGGCGUGGCUAUGGGGCGCCAUGGGUGUUUGGGUGCCCUGGGGCACGUGGGCGCUCUGGGGUGUCACAGUGCUGCUGUAGUUUGCGCUAUGGGGUGAUGGGCUGCUGUGGGGUGUCGAGGGGCUGUAGGCACUUUGGGUGCUAUGGGGCACAUGAACACUAUGGGGCGCUGAGGUGCUGCUAUGGGGUAUCACAGUGCUGCUGUAGGGUGUCAGUGUGCUAUGGGGUGGUGGGCUGCUAUAGGGCGCUGGGGUGCUAUGGAGUGUUGAGGGGCUAUGGGGCAUAUGUGUGCUGUAGUCACUUUGGGUGCUGUAGGACGGUUGGGUGCUAUGGGAUGCCAGAGUGCUGCUAUAGGGUGCCAGGGAGCUAUGGGGUGGUGGGCUGCUAUAGGGUGCCAGGGUGCUAUGGGGCAUUGGGGUCCCCUGUGGGGCACCGGGGGGGCUCUCCUCCUGCCCCCCCCCCAGCCCGCAGCCCCCCAGCAGCUGCUCCAGCUCCCAGCGCUCUGCGGCCGUGGGGGGUGAGGGGCGCCCGGUGGGGCUCUGCGGUGGCGGGGAUUCUGCCGUGGAGGGGUCCUCCUCCCAUGGGGCGCCCCCGGCGGCCCCCCUGUCUUGCGCAAGGGUGCGGGGGCUCUCGUCCUGCGGCCCCCCCGUCUCCGUCAGGUCUGUGGGAACAUGGCACCGUCGGGGGGCGGGAGGGGCCCCAUGAGCCCGCUGAACCCCCCCAGGGUUCAGAGCCCCGUGGGACUGGGGUCCCACUGAACUUCGGGGUCCCGCCGGGAUCCCCUUGGUUCCCAUUGGGUCCCGCUGCAUCCCACCGGGAUCGCUCUGCGGUCCCACUGUGAUCCCAUCCCAAGGUCACGUCAGGGUCCCGUGGGGGUGGGGUGGGGGUGGGGGGUCCCGCACCGUCGCUGCUGUCCUGGUGCCGCGCAUUGAAGCCGUGGAAGGAGUCGCGCCGCACCACGGGGUCCCACGUGCACAGGUCCACGCACACAGCACCACGGGGGGCGGCCCAGUCUGGGGGAGGUGGGGUUAUGGGGGGUGGGGCUAUGGGGUUAUUAUGGGCUGUGGGGCGGCCCCCCCUCACCUUCCACCUUGUCAGGACUGGAGGAGAACACGAACUCCACGGCGGCGUCGGG
This 1515-nucleotide long non-coding RNA is filed under the name Numida meleagris (helmeted guineafowl). Its description in RNAcentral is "lncRNA (ENSNMEG00000005094.1)". Lineage: Eukaryota; Metazoa; Chordata; Aves; Galliformes; Numididae. The record is from RNAcentral.